GUCUACGGCCAUGCCUCCCUGAACAAGCCCGAUCCCAUCUGAUCUCAGAAGCUAAGCAAGGUCAGGCCUGGUUAGUACUUGGAUGGGAGACCACCUAGGAAUAUCAGGUGCUGUAGGCG
Molecule: ribosomal RNA, 119 nt
Filed under: Pteropus alecto (black flying fox)
Lineage: Eukaryota; Metazoa; Chordata; Mammalia; Chiroptera; Pteropodidae
Source: RNAcentral